Molecule: small nuclear RNA, 103 nt
Organism: Sarcophilus harrisii (Tasmanian devil)
Lineage: Eukaryota; Metazoa; Chordata; Mammalia; Dasyuromorphia; Dasyuridae
Source: Ensembl
UUGCUUCAGCAGCACUUAUAUUAAACUUGGAAUGAUACAGAGAAGAUUAGCAUGUUCUUUGCAUAAGGAUGACACACAAAUUCAUGAAAAAGAAAGAAAGAAA